CCUUCAUCUCGCGAGAGUACCUCCUCUUUUGUACCUCCAUAAUCUCGCUUUACAGUGGUACCUCCCCAAAAUCUUUAAAUCCUUCAACAAUCUUUGGCAAUGGUUUCUCCCUCAACCUAUCUCGAUUCCGUUCAUGGUUAGGAGGUACUGUUAGAAAUUUUACAGCUUUCCUCCCAUCUUCGCUCUGUACCCUUGCAUAAGCAGAACC
Molecule: long non-coding RNA, 208 nt
Filed under: Physcomitrium patens
Lineage: Eukaryota; Viridiplantae; Streptophyta; Bryopsida; Funariales; Funariaceae
Description: long non-coding RNA (PPAT_LNC008434)
Source: RNAcentral